Molecule: microRNA precursor, 202 nt
Organism: Oryza rufipogon (brownbeard rice)
Lineage: Eukaryota; Viridiplantae; Streptophyta; Magnoliopsida; Poales; Poaceae
Rfam family: MIR812 microRNA precursor family
Source: Rfam
AAUAAGCGCAGCCAUGAGUUUCUAUGUCUAACUUUGAUCGUUCUUUUAUUUGAUUUUUUUUUAUGAUUAGUAAUUUUAUUAUUAUUAGAUUAUAAAACAUGAAUAGUAUUUUAUGCAUGGCUUAUGUUUUUAGUUUUUUUUUAAAAAAUUAAAUAGGACGAACGAUUAAAGUUUAACACGGAAACUCAUGACUGCGCUUUUU